CUUGAAGCCAGAUGUUGAUAGCUGGGAAGGCUAUCGAUACAAGCAAAAGGGGAUAGAAGACGAGCCAUGGUAAAGUAGAAGAAUUAACAAUGAAAAUGAAGUACAGUGAUUAAAGAUGUAGAGACUGUGAUAUCCUAGAAAGCAAGCAAAGAAAAUAUGAUGGUGAGGGAAUUUUCAGGUGGAACAAGGAAUCGGCUUUCCCCAGAGGCCACCUGCCGCUCAGAUGUCUUGUGACCAUGUGGGAAACUAACCAUGGGAUCAAAUAUGUCUUGUCUGUCACAAGGUGGUACAGUGAAGAUAUGGAAGGUACCUCGAUUGUUAGUGACACUGUUGAGCUAGUUAUGUAACCAACCCUGGAUUCUCUGCCCUCUUUCCUGAAGAUUUUGUUAGGUGGGAUAAUAACUUAAUCUACUGUUUAAGCUUGAUAGAGUCAGAAAUUAUGAUAAUUAUGUAGAAAAUCUUCCUGAUACUGAGACUAAAUUUAACUAUUAGAUUUUUCUCUCAUAAAUUGCAUGACUGUAUGAAAAUAAUGAAUUCUAUUUGAGGCUUGGUUUACUCAACUGUAAAAU
Molecule: long non-coding RNA, 569 nt
Filed under: Canis lupus familiaris (dog)
Lineage: Eukaryota; Metazoa; Chordata; Mammalia; Carnivora; Canidae
Description: lncRNA (ENSCAFG00845010360.1)
Source: RNAcentral